UGGGUUUGACAUCACCCGAAAAGCUGUGGAGACAUGGUGUCCUUCGGGGCGGGUGACAGGUGGUGCAUGGCUGUCGUCAGCUCGUGUCGUGAGAUGUUGGGUUAAGUCCCGCAACGAGCGCAACCCUUGUCCCAUGUUGCCAGCGGGUUAUGCCGGGGACUCAUGGGAGACUGCCGGGGUCAACUCGGAGGAAGGUGGGGAUGACGUGUCGUUACCUUA
This 219-nucleotide unclassified non-coding RNA is filed under the name uncultured Actinomycetes bacterium. RNAcentral describes it as "uncultured actinobacterium contains 16S-23S intergenic spacer region". It matches the Rfam family "Bacterial small subunit ribosomal RNA", at positions 976 to 1197 of the family's 1533-position model. Lineage: Bacteria; Bacillati; Actinomycetota; Actinomycetes. The record is from RNAcentral.